Molecule: ribosomal RNA, 482 nt
Filed under: uncultured bacterium
Lineage: Bacteria
Description: partial 16S ribosomal RNA
Rfam family: Bacterial small subunit ribosomal RNA
Source: RNAcentral
AUUGAACGCUGGCGGCAUGCCUUACACAUGCAAAUCGAACGGUAACGGGCCUUCGGGUGCCGACGAGUGGCGAACGGGUGCGUAAUACAUCGGAACGUGCCCGAUCGUGGGGGAUAACGAGGCGAAAGCUUUGCUAAUACCGCAUACGAUCUACGGAUGAAAGCAGGGGACCGCAAGGCCUUGCGCGGACGGAGCGGCCGAUGGCAGAUUAGGUAGUUGGUGGGAUAAAAGCUUACCAAGCCGACGAUCUGUAGCUGGUCUGAGAGGAUGAUCAGCCACACUGGGACUGAGACACGGCCCAGACUCCUACGGGAGGCAGCAGUGGGGAAUUUUGGACAAUGGGCGCAAGCCUGAUCCAGCCAUGCCGCGUGCAGGAUGAAGGCCUUCGGGUUGUAAACUGAUUUUGUACGGAACGAAAAGCCUUCUUUUAAUACAGGAGGGUCAUGACGGUACCGUAAGAAUAAGCACCUGCUAACUACGUG